GCAAGUCGUGCGAGAAAGUAUCUUCGGAUAUGAGUAGAGCGGCGGACGGGUGAGUAACGCGUAGGAAUCUACCUAGUAGAAGGGGAUAGCCCGGGGAAACCCGGAUUAAUACCGUAUACCUCCUUCGGGAGAAAGAAGGCCCCUCUUUGAAGCUUUCGCUACUAGAUGAGCCUGCGUAAGAUUAGCUUGUUGGUGAGGUAAAGGCUCACCAAGGCAACGAUCUUUAGCUGGUCUGAGAGGACGAUCAGCCACAUUGGGACUGAGACACGGCCCAGACUCCUACGGGAGGCAGCAGUGGGGAAUAUUGGACAAUGGGCGCAAGCCUGAUCCAGCCAUACCGCGUGUGUGAAGAAGGCCUUCGGGUUGUAAAGCACUUUAAGCAGGGAGAAAAAGUUAUAAGUUAAUACCUUAUAGCCUUGAUGUUACCUGCAGAAUAAGCAGCGGCUAAUUCCGUGCCAGCAGCCGCGGUAAUACGGAAGGUGCAAGCGUUAAUCGGAAUUACUGGGCGUAAAGCGCGCGUAGGUGGUUUGUUAAGUUGGAUGUGAAAGCCCUGGGCUCAACCUAGGAACUGCAUCCAAAACUAACUCACUAGAGUACGAUAGAGGGAGGUAGAAUUCAUAGUGUAGCGGUGGAAUGCGUAGAUAUUAUGAAGAAUACCAGUGGCGAAGGCGGCCUCCUGGAUCUGUACUGACACUGAGGUGCGAAAGCGUGGGUAGCGAACAGGAUUAGAUACCCUGGUAGUCCACGCCGUAAACGACGACAACUAGCUGUUGGGAGACAAAGUCCUUCAGUGGCGCAGCUAACGCUUUAAGUUGUC
Molecule: ribosomal RNA, 817 nt
Filed under: uncultured Gammaproteobacteria bacterium
Lineage: Bacteria; Pseudomonadati; Pseudomonadota; Gammaproteobacteria
Description: bacterial SSU rRNA
Rfam family: Bacterial small subunit ribosomal RNA
Source: RNAcentral